Molecule: ribosomal RNA, 253 nt
Filed under: uncultured bacterium
Lineage: Bacteria
Description: partial 16S ribosomal RNA
Rfam family: Bacterial small subunit ribosomal RNA
Source: RNAcentral
UACGAAGGGGGCUAGCGUUGUUCGGAAUUAUUGGGCGUAAAGGGCGCGUAGGCGGCUUGACAAGUCAAAGGUGAAAUCCCUCGGCUCAACUGAGGAACUGCCUUUGAAACUGUCUGGCUUGAGGCCGGGAGGGGGUAGCGGAAUUCCCAGUGUAGCGGUGAAAUGCGUAGAUAUUGGGAGGAACACCAGUGGCGAAGGCGGCUACCUGGACCGGUUCUGACGCUGAUGCGCGAAAGCGUGGGUAGCAAACAGG